This 397-nucleotide long non-coding RNA is filed under the name Serinus canaria (Common canary). Its description in RNAcentral is "lncRNA (ENSSCAG00000004189.1)". Lineage: Eukaryota; Metazoa; Chordata; Aves; Passeriformes; Fringillidae. The record is from RNAcentral.
GUUAAAUUACAGUCUGGGAACAAGCCAUGUCCCACACCAGGCAGAUGCUGGAGAGGGUGGCAUUGGUUGGGAGGAGGGCAGGCAUCUUGCUGAAGAGGAAGAGGAAGGGGAGGGAAGCAUUGUCUCAGCAGAAGAAUGUUAUUCUCCAGCCCUGAACACUCCACAGAUUCCAGUGACAGAUGGAUCUCUCUCGUGCGCACUUGCUCUUUCCUUCUCUGUAUUUUUGUUUUCGACAUGUUUGAUCCAAAGCUCUGAAGCUUCUCAGAGGGAACCCAGGAAAGAAGGAAGGGAAGGAGUAGAAACCAAGGGAGCGUGAGCGACACAGGAGGCAGCCCUGCCUUGUUCUUCCAAAUCACACUGUGGAGGGGCGGGGGAAGACUAGAGGGGGAGGACUUGG